AGAGGACAGUCUGAUGUAUGCUGAGGUCAAACGCCCCAAAAAAGAAAAAGCCAAGAAAAAAGCAGGAAAAUCAAGUCCUGCAGCUGAUGCAGCAGUUUAUUCUGAAGUCACAUUAGGAAGCUUUCCUGGUCAGUGAGGAGAGCUGCAGCAGCAAAGCCAAGAA
Oreochromis aureus is the source of this 163-nucleotide long non-coding RNA. RefSeq lists it as uncharacterized. The record is from RefSeq and is a predicted model, not a curated record. The transcript is spliced from 3 exons. Lineage: Eukaryota; Metazoa; Chordata; Actinopteri; Cichliformes; Cichlidae.